RNAcentral lists this ribosomal RNA (492 nucleotides) under uncultured bacterium. RNAcentral describes it as "partial 16S ribosomal RNA". It matches the Rfam family "Bacterial small subunit ribosomal RNA", at positions 29 to 507 of the family's 1533-position model. The record is from RNAcentral.
AGUGAACGCUGGCGGUAGGCCUAACACAUGCAAGUCGAACGGCAGCACAGUAAGAGCUUGCUCUUACGGGUGGCGAGUGGCGGACGGGUGAGGAAUACAUCGGAAUCUACUUUUUCGUGGGGGAUAACGUAGGGAAACUUACGCUAAUACCGCAUACGACCUACGGGUGAAAGCAGGGGAUCUUCUGACCUUGCGCGAUUGAAUGAGCCGAUGUCGGAUUAGCUAGUUGGCGGGGUAAAGGCCCACCAAGGCGACGAUCCGUAGCUGGUCUGAGAGGAUGAUCAGCCACACUGGAACUGAGACACGGUCCAGACUCCUAAGGGAGGCAGCAGUGGGGAAUAUUGGACAAUGGGCGCAAGCCUGAUACAGCCAUACCGCGUGGGUGAAGAAGGCCUUCGGGUUGUAAAGCCCUUUUGUUGGGAAAGAAAAGCAGCAGGUUAAUACCCCGCUGUUCUGACGGUACCCAAAGAAUAAGCACCGGCUAACUUCGUG